Molecule: ribosomal RNA, 1472 nt
Filed under: uncultured bacterium
Lineage: Bacteria
Description: bacterial SSU rRNA
Rfam family: Bacterial small subunit ribosomal RNA
Source: RNAcentral
AUUUUGAUCCUGGCUCAGGAUGAACGCUGACAGAAUGCUUAACACAUGCAAGUCGAUUCGAUUUACCUUCGGGUAUUGAGGAUGGCGGACGGGUGAGUAACGCGUAAGGAACUUGCCUCUUGGUCUGGGACAACUGUUGGAAACGACAGCUAAUACCGGAUAUUAUGAGAUUCUCGCAUGGGAAACUUAUGAAAGCUAUAUGCGCCAAGAGAGAGCCUUGCGUUCCAUUAGCUAGUUGGUGGGGUAAUGGCCCACCAAGGCGACGAUGGAUAGCCGGCCUGAGAGGGUGAACGGCCACAAGGGGACUGAGACACGGCCCUUACUCCUACGGGAGGCAGCAGUGGGGGAUAUUGGACAAUGGGCCACGAGCCUGAUCCAGCAAUUCUGUGUGCACGAUGAAGGUCUUCGGAUUGUAAAGUGCUUUCAGUUGGGAAGAAGAAAGUGACGGUACCAACAGAAGAAGCGACGGCUAAAUACGUGCCAGCAGCCGCGGUAAUACGUAUGUCGCAAGCGUUAUCCGGAUUUAUUGGGCGUAAAGCGCGUCUAGGCGGAAAAAUAAGUCUGAUGUUAAAAUGCGGGGCUCAACUCCGUAUUGCGUUGGAAACUGUUUUUCUAGAGUACUGGAGAGGUGGGCGGAACUACAAGUGUAGAGGUGAAAUUCGUAGAUAUUUGUAGGAAUGCCGAUGGAGAAGUCAGCUCACUGGACAGAUACUGACGCUAAAGCGCGAAAGCGUGGGGAGCAAACAGGAUUAGAUACCCUGGUAGUUCACGCCGUAAACGAUGAUCACUAGGUGUUGGAGGUCGAACCUCAGCGCCCAAGCUAACGCGAUAAGUGAUCCGCCUGGGGAGUACGCACGCAAGUGUGAAACUCAAAGGAAUUGACGGGGACCCGCACAAGCGGUGGAGCAUGUGGUUUAAUUCGACGCAACGCGAGAAACCUUACCAGCGUUUGACAUCCUAAGAAGUUUCCAGAGAUGGAUUCGUGCCGGCUGCCGGAACUUAGUGACAGGUGGUGCAUGGCUGUCGUCAGCUCGUGUUGUGAAAUGUUGGGUUAAGUCCCGCAACGAGCGCAACCCUUAUCCUUUGUUGCCAGCGGUUCGGCCGGGAACUCAAAGGAGACUGCCAGUGAUAAACUGGAGGAAGGUGGGGAUGACGUCAAGUCAUCAUGGCCCUUACGAGUAGGGCUACACACGUGCUACAAUGGCAUAUACAAAGAGAAGCGACCUCGCGAGAGCAAGCGGACCUCAUAAAGUAUGUCGUAGUCCGGAUUGGAGUCUGCAACUCGACUCCAUGAAGUCGGAAUCGCUAGUAAUCGUAGAUCAGAAUGCUACGGUGAAUACGUUCCCGGGCCUUGUACACACCGCCCGUCACACCAUGGGAGUGGGUUGCAAAAGAAGUAGGUAGCUUAACCUUCGGGAGGGCGCUUACCACUUUGUGAUUCAUGACUGGGGUGAAGUCGUAACAAGGUAACC